This 497-nucleotide ribosomal RNA is filed under the name Charybdis smithii. Its description in RNAcentral is "partial large subunit ribosomal RNA". It matches the Rfam family "Archaeal large subunit ribosomal RNA", at positions 1920 to 2646 of the family's 2987-position model. Lineage: Eukaryota; Metazoa; Arthropoda; Malacostraca; Decapoda; Portunidae. The record is from RNAcentral.
GGCUAUUAUGAGGUUGUUUAUAGUCUAGCCUGCUCACUGAUAGAAAUUAUUAAAUAGCCGCGGUAUCUUGACCGUGCAAAGGUAGCAUAAUCAUUAGUUUUUUAAUUGAAAACUUGUAUGAAUGGUUGGACAAGGAAGGUACUGUCUCUUUUAUUAUUAUUGAAUUUAACUUUUAAGUGAAAAGGCUUAAAUAUUCUAGAGGGACGAUAAGACCCUAUAAAGCUUUAUAAGUUUAAAAAUUUUAUAUAUUUUUAUAUAAAACUAAUUUUUUAAAAGUUUAUUUGGUUGGGGCGACAAUGAUAUAAGUAAAAUAACUGUUAUUAAAUUUAACAAAUAUAUUUGUCUAUAAAUUAAUUGAUCCCUUGUAAGGAUUUAAGACCAAGUUACUUUAGGGAUAACAGCGUUAUUUUUCCUGAGAGUUCUUAUCAAAGGAGAAGUUUGCGACCUCGAUGUUGAAUUAAAAUGUCUUUAUAGUGCAGCAGCUAUAAAAGAAGGUC